RNAcentral lists this long non-coding RNA (1029 nucleotides) under Marmota monax (woodchuck). Lineage: Eukaryota; Metazoa; Chordata; Mammalia; Rodentia; Sciuridae. The record is from RNAcentral.
CUUUCAUACUCAGAUAAGUUGUGAUGGAAGAAUUUGAACUAAGUUAAAAUACUCUAGAAGACAAUAUUCUGAAUAAUGCAAAUGAGCCUUCUGCUCUAUGGUUUGUGGAUAGGCUUAAAUGCUAUGCCAAUUAAAUUCAUUUGUGUUACUGUGGCCAAAUGCAAUGCUUCCCAAUAAAUUGAGAAAAGAUUAAAAAUCUUCUGAUGAGUGUUUGUCAGAGUAAUAAUAAUAACCUGGAUCUUGCAAGUUGACUAUAUUAUUGAAAUGAUUUGUUUUCUACUAAUUCUUUUUGUGUUUCAAUAGUAGAUUAUGAUGACCUUGGACCGAGAAUCUGGGUGAUUAAAUCAUGUAGUACCCAAUUGCCUUUAAAUAUUAAUCAAGGGGAAUUUGUGGGUAGCUACUCCAAAUUCAGGCACCUUUAGUCGUGAGGCAUCAUGGGGAUCUGAAAGAGCACUGUAGUUUGGUGCAGUAGUGCCAUGACUCAUACUCCAUUUUUUCCCUUGCUUGGAUAAUAAGGCAUGGCACCCAAAGGGUUGAGUAUGGGGAGCCACUCUGAAAGAUCUGCUCCUUCCAUCCUAGGGGGCAGAGACUUUGACUUGCACUACAUAUUAUAGUGAUCUGGACAUUGUCCUGGUCCAAGAAGUUUGAGGGUGUAUCUUCAGAUGUAGGCCUGUCACACCAUGACCCUUUGGGUCAAAUUACACUCACCUGUCCUUUGUAACCCUGCCACUUCUGAUGUUUUUUUUGGAUGGAACUUUCUAAGAAUGAGGGUCCCCCAAUAAAAGCCCACUUCUAAAUAUGCUCAUUCUCUCUCACAAGCCUCCCAUGACUUUCUCUUGCUUUCCCAUUUGGGGAGCCUGAGGCAGAGAGUGGAGAAACCAUCCUGAAGCUUGAUUAAAGGUAAAGUGUGUGUCUGUGUUUUCUUUGGUCGGAAAUUCACAUGAGCAACCUUAAGUUCAGCUGCCCAUGUGGGCAGCAGUUGAGCUACACUCACCUGUUCCCUUGUAAUCCUACCCCUUGCCUCAUUUG